GAUGAAGAACGCAGCGAAAUGCGAUAAGUAGUGUGAAUUGCAGAAUUCAGUGAAUCAUCGAAUCUUUGAACGCACAUUGCGCCCUUUGGUAUUCCUUAGGGCAUGCCUGUUCGAGCGUCAUUUGAAACCUCAAGCUCAGCUUGGUGUUGGGUGUCUGUCCCCGCCUCCGCGGGGACUCGCCUCAAAAUCAUUGGCGGCCGGUACGUUGGCUUCGAGCGCAGCAGAAACGCGAACUCGAGGCCCGGCGGAUCGGCGACCAGAAGUCUCUUCUUCACAGUUUGACCUCGGAUCAGGUAGGGAUACCCGCUGAACCUAAGCAUAUCAAUAAGCGGAGGA
RNAcentral lists this unclassified non-coding RNA (336 nucleotides) under soil metagenome. Its description in RNAcentral is "partial contains 5.8S ribosomal RNA, internal transcribed spacer 2, and large subunit ribosomal RNA". The stretch from base 1 to 120 matches the Rfam family "5.8S ribosomal RNA", at positions 35 to 154 of the family's 154-position model. The record is from RNAcentral.